GAUGAACGCUGGCGGCGUGCCUAAUACAUGCAAGUCGAGCGAACAGACGAGGAGCUUGCUCCUCUGACGUUAGCGGCGGACGGGUGAGUAACACGUGGAUAACCUACCUAUAAGACUGGGAUAACUUCGGGAAACCGGAGCUAAUACCGGAUAAUAUAUUGAACCGCAUGGUUCAAUAGUGAAAGACGGUUUUGCUGUCACUUAUAGAUAGAUCCGCGCCGCAUUAGCUAGUUGGUAAGGUAACGGCUUACCAAGGCGACGAUGCGUAGCCGACCUGAGAGGGUGAUCGGCCACACUGGAACUGAGACACGGUCCAGACUCCUACGGGAGGCAGCAGUAGGGAAUCUUCCGCAAUGGGCGAAAGCCUGACGGAGCAACGCCGCGUGAGUGAUGAAGGUCUUCGGAUCGUAAAACUCUGUUAUUAGGGAAGAACAAAUGUGUAAGUAACUAUGCACGUCUUGACGGUACCUAAUCAGAAAGCCACGGCUAACUACGCG
RNAcentral lists this ribosomal RNA (497 nucleotides) under uncultured bacterium. RNAcentral describes it as "partial 16S ribosomal RNA". It matches the Rfam family "Bacterial small subunit ribosomal RNA", at positions 28 to 507 of the family's 1533-position model. The record is from RNAcentral.